UACGGAGGGUGCAAACGUUGCUCGGAAUCAUUGGGCGUAAAGCGCACGUAGGCGGCCCGUUAAGUCGGAUGUGAAAGCCCUGGGCUCAACCCAGGAAGUGCAUUCGAUACGGGACGGCUGGAGACCGGGAGAGGAGAGUGGAAUAGCCAGUGUAGAGGUGAAAUUCGUAGAUAUUGGCUGGAACACCGGUGGCGAAAGCGGCUCUCUGGCCCGGUUCUGACGCUGAGGCGCGAAAGCGUGGGGAGCAAACAGG
RNAcentral lists this ribosomal RNA (253 nucleotides) under uncultured bacterium. Its description in RNAcentral is "partial 16S ribosomal RNA". It matches the Rfam family "Bacterial small subunit ribosomal RNA", at positions 524 to 776 of the family's 1533-position model. The record is from RNAcentral.